Molecule: unclassified non-coding RNA, 224 nt
Filed under: Hevea brasiliensis (rubber tree)
Lineage: Eukaryota; Viridiplantae; Streptophyta; Magnoliopsida; Malpighiales; Euphorbiaceae
Source: RNAcentral
CUUUGAUCUCUUGAUAGUACUUGCCACAUUAGUGGAGAUAGGAGUAGGGGAUUUGUCUAUGGGAUUGGAAAAAUUACCUAUUCAUUCAUUAAUUCCAUCAUUCUAUAUAGAGACACUUUGCCUAUUGAUUGUCCUAGAAUUCCUUUUGAGCAUGACUUUCUCUUUUGAUUGGUUGGUUUUGGGAUUUUGAAUGAUAAUUUACUUGAUGGCUAAGCGGUGAAAGC